UACGUAGGGGGCGAGCGUUAUCCGGAUUUACUGGGCGUAAAGGGGGCGUAGGCGGCCGUGAAAGUCCGCUGUGAAAACUCACGGCUCAACCGUGGGACUGCGCUGGAAACUACACGGCUUGAGGACGGUAGAGGGAGACGGAACUGCUGGUGUAGGGGUGAAAUGCGUAGAUAUCAGCAGGAACGCCGGUGGAGAAGUCGGUCCCCUGGGCCGUGCCUGACGCUGAGGCGCGAAAGCGAGGGGAGCAAACAGG
Molecule: ribosomal RNA, 253 nt
Filed under: uncultured microorganism
Description: partial 16S ribosomal RNA
Rfam family: Bacterial small subunit ribosomal RNA
Source: RNAcentral